This 70-nucleotide transfer RNA is filed under the name Hasemania nana. Its description in RNAcentral is "tRNA-Ile". It matches the Rfam family "tRNA". From Rfam's summary of the family: Transfer RNA (tRNA) molecules are approximately 80 nucleotides in length. Their secondary structure includes four short double-helical elements and three loops (D, anti-codon, and T loops). Further hydrogen bonds mediate the characteristic L-shaped molecular structure. tRNAs have two regions of fundamental functional importance: the anti-codon, which is responsible for specific mRNA codon recognition, and the 3' end, to which the tRNAs corresponding amino acid is attached (by aminoacyl-tRNA synthetases). tRNAs cope with the degeneracy of the genetic code in two manners: having more than one tRNA (with a specific anti-codon) for a particular amino acid; and 'wobble' base-pairing, i.e. permitting non-standard base-pairing at the 3rd anti-codon position. Lineage: Eukaryota; Metazoa; Chordata; Actinopteri; Characiformes; Acestrorhamphidae. The record is from RNAcentral.
GGAGCUGUGCCCGAAUACUUAAGGACCACUUUGAUAGAGUGACUUAUGAGGGUUUAAGUCCCUCCGGCUC